UAACAUUAACUACAUGAAAAAUACCACUGAAAUAUCAAAUAUAUCUUAUCAAUCUUCAUUCAAUUGCAUUUCAUAAUAUCAAUUAAAUUUCCCAAUUACGUUACAAACUUAUAAUAUGUUACAUGUUCUCUUAUACCCAUUAACCUAACAAUUAAACUUGAAAUUCAAACACUGCAAUCAAAUCGAUUAACAUUAACCUCCAAUGCAUUGUUUAAAACGAAUAUCAGAAUCUUACUUACAAGUACGAAAUGAAACCGUAAUUGUUUUGCUCGUUUUUCUUAUCUUCUGCACUAUUUUCAGCCUCUGCCUUCUUCUCUUCACGACAAAAGACAACUUCAUCUAACUCUGGUUCACCUGUUAAUAGUUUGAUGCAAUUUUGACGGAUACCUUCUUCCCUUUGCUCUGUCAUGCUUUUAGCAGGAUCAAUUCUGGGAUUUGUCCAAAUCACCAUGUUCCAAUAAUCACGACCCACCCAUAACAAGAAAUGAUGUUACAAAAAUUAUAUGGUGAAGACAACUUCACAAGAUGAUGCUUCACAUUUUACCAAAUUCUGCCACAUUCCAGCGCCUGUAGCUUCGAUUUUAUGGGGCUGCAAUUUUUUUGGUUUCCCUAAUUUGUGAUAUGAAAUAAUGAAAGACGAUUUUGGUUAUCUCGUUUGCUGCUUCUAAUGCUUUCCUCUUUCAAAACCUAGAUACUGUACUUGCUUUCUUCAAUAUUCUGGCUUCUUUCUUCAAUUUUCGGGCUUUUCCAGCGACACUCAUCACUUCCAUCUCAAAUUUUCUUUACCGACUAACCCAUUUGCUUCCUUUUUUCAACAACCAUUUUAGCAGGUAGCCAUUCUUUUGUUUUUUAAAAUGAAUAUCCAACCACUACCUGAACCUUGUUUUACGUUAUGUUUCACCACACCCGUUGGAUCUACAAAUUAAAGAAUCCAACGGUUCAUGUUCUGGUAUUGUUACUUACAUCAAAUGUAAGUUAAGCGCUGCCUAUUAUUAGUAUUAUUAUUUUCCAUGCAGAUGUUACUGAUCAUAUAUGUUGUUUGUUACAUUUCUUUCAUUCUUAGGAACCAUGGGGAAAAUAUACUCUUUAAAAGCAUAUGUGUUUAUUUAAUUGUA
This 1115-nucleotide long non-coding RNA is filed under the name Citrus x clementina. RNAcentral describes it as "Citrus clementina (C. clementina) long non-coding RNA (CCLE_LNC002944)". Lineage: Eukaryota; Viridiplantae; Streptophyta; Magnoliopsida; Sapindales; Rutaceae. The record is from RNAcentral.